GUUUUUCUUCUUGCAUAAAUUAUCUUAUCUCCCAACAGAUUUGUUGGGUUGGUGUGGUUGUUAGUCUUAGUUUUAGCCGUGGCUAUGAAAUUUUGUUGAGAAGUAGGCAAACAUAGAAGCUGUUGUUUGUUGAAUGAAUUUGCGUAUGCAUCUAUUUUAUUCCUAAAACAGUUAGUCAGAAAGAUGUUUCACACUGGUGUGAUACUAUUAUUUCUACCCAAGCUCUAAUAUUUUUAGUGCCAAGAAAAAUUGAUGCACCCGAACUAUGACACAUCUCUCUAUACUGAAAUUGUGGUUGUAUUGUUUGUCAUCUGAAAACCACACUCAAGUAUACAUUAUGGGACAUAAUGCCCAGAAAAUAAUCACCAGGCAUGGAUAUCACUGUUGACCUACAUAGUACAACAUUGCAUAAUUUUCUGGUUUUCUGAAGGUACAACUCAGUAUUAUUUUUUAUCAUACAUAGAUAGAACAAAGGCCACAAGAGCUGAUUUUGUGCACCUUGCUGCAUGGGCACCCACUUGAUUAAGAUAUUCUAAGUGUGAGCUUUUAGAUUUCGAAAUAACAAAUUAGAUUCUAAUUAUUAACCUGUGUUCAAAUUCUAAUGUUAUCUAACUCUGACAGAUUGUCUUUGAGAAUAAUUUGAUGAACCACCAUGUCGCUCUUCAAUCUGGUUCCAUGGGAAAGUAAAUUACAUCGCUCGAGCGGGUCAACAUAGCCUACAGGAUACAUUUCUAGAGCUGAAAUUUCAGGGCAUCAAGAAGUAAUUAACUAUGCUUCAAGCAAGGAAGUUAUUUGGUAUAACUUUUUUGAGGAAUAAUUUACUAGCUUAAUGUUUGGAAGUUAAUGAGCUGCAGAUAUGGCAUGUGGGUACACGAAGACCUGAUGCAUCAAAGCUCGGUGUGGACACCUCUUCUUACAUGACAUGUAUGUCUACAACUUAUCCGAGCUUCAAUUUCCAGAAUAAAACACAUGUUUUUAUUUAUUAUGGUUUCUUCUCUUAGAUAACCAAACAUUUUGCAGAUGUUGAUUUUUCAUUUCCUUCCAACGCCAUUAAAUCCCAGUGUUUUCUAAUUU
Molecule: long non-coding RNA, 1074 nt
Organism: Triticum aestivum (bread wheat)
Lineage: Eukaryota; Viridiplantae; Streptophyta; Magnoliopsida; Poales; Poaceae
Exons: 2
Source: RefSeq, a predicted model, not a curated record